Molecule: ribosomal RNA, 301 nt
Filed under: uncultured bacterium
Lineage: Bacteria
Description: partial 16S ribosomal RNA
Rfam family: Bacterial small subunit ribosomal RNA
Source: RNAcentral
CAGCCGCCGCGGGAAUACGAAGGGUGCAAGCGCUAAUCGGAAUUACUGGGCGUAAAGCGCACGUAGGCGGCUUGGUAAGUUAGAGGUGAAAGCCUGGAGCUCAACUCCAGAAUUGCCUUUAAGACUGCCGAGCUAGCAGGUGAGAGAGGUAAGUGGAAUUCCGAGUGUAGAGGUGAAAUUCGUAGAUAUUCGGAAGAACACCAGUGGCGAAGGCGGCUUACUGGCUCAUACUGGACGCUGAGGUGCGAAAGCGUGGGGAGCAAACAGGAUUAGAUACCCCGGUAGUCCCUGUCUCUUAUAC